Molecule: small RNA, 30 nt
Filed under: Bombyx mori (domestic silkworm)
Lineage: Eukaryota; Metazoa; Arthropoda; Insecta; Lepidoptera; Bombycidae
Description: ovarian small RNA-6709
Source: RNAcentral
UCAAAAGCAACCUAAGCUACAUAAUGGAAA